Molecule: long non-coding RNA, 2602 nt
Organism: Gallus gallus (chicken)
Lineage: Eukaryota; Metazoa; Chordata; Aves; Galliformes; Phasianidae
Exons: 2
Source: RefSeq, a predicted model, not a curated record
GGAGCGAGCGAGCUGCCCAGACCUCUGGCUGCGGGGAACUCCAGAAGCUCCAGGCUGCGAGAGCAAAUCAGCCCACUGAGGUGUGUGCGGCAGUCGGAGAGAGAGACCGAGGCCUGGGAUCGCGCAGUGACAGGGGCAGAGCGACAGCCCUGCCCUGAGCCCCAGCAAGGGGGAGAAGCAAGGCUGCCUGCUUUCCGCUGCUCCCAGGAUUGGUUUGAGACAGCGCACCAAAACGCAUACAGGGAAGUCGUGGCUGUUGGGCAGAGUCCACGGCGACUGGCAAAUGGAAACAUCACUCCGAGGAGGCCCCGGGAAACUCCAGGCCCGUCAGCCUCACCUCGGUGCCUGGGGAGUCUGUGGAGCAGAUCCCCCGCGAAGAGAUGUUCAGGCACAUGCGAGACGAGCCCUCCUCACCCUUGUGUCCUCCUGCCUCCGGUACCACGGGCACCAAGCAGCGCGGUGCAGUCGCCGUAGGAGGAGGAAGGGAUGGCAGCCAGAGAGUGGGACCGGGCAGGUUCAAUGGGGGAUUUUCUGAUAUGAAAGUGCCUUACUUUCGAUUAAAAGGAGAUCUUCCGAGAGAAAAUGCCUGACUUUCGGAUUAAGUGUGGGAUUUUGCAAGAGAAAUUGUGUGAUUCUUGGGUUAAAGGGGGGAUUUUUGAAGGGAAAAUGGAUGAUUUUUGGGUUAAGUAGGGAAUUUUGAAGAGAAAAUGCGUUAAUUUUGGUUAAAUGUGGGAUUUUCAAAGAGAAAAUGUGUGAUUUUGGGGCUAAAUGGGGGGAGUUCCGAAGAGAAAAUGAGUGAUUUUCACAUUAAAUGGGGGAUUUUCCAGGAGAAAAGUCGUAAUUUUGGGGUUAAAUGGGGGAUGUUCAAAGAGAAAACGCAUGAUUUUGGGAUUAAAUGGGGGAUUUUUGAAGAGAAAAUGUGUGAUUUUCGGUUAAAUGGUGGAUUUCUCAUGAGAAAAUGCGUGAUUUUUGGUUUAAAUGGGGGAUUUUCAAUCAAAAAUGUGUGAUUUUCGUAUUUAACAGGGAAAUAUCUAAGAGAAAAUGAGUGAUUUUCUGAUAAAUGGGGGAUUUUCGAACAGGAAAUGCCUGAAUUUUGGUUAAAAGGAGGGUUUUCAGAGAGAAAAGACACGAUUUGGAAAUUAAAUGGGGAUUUUCUGUUAAAAACAAAUGCGUGAUUUUGGGGUUAAAUGGGGGAAUUUCAAAGAGAAAAUGCAUGAUUUUCAGAUAAAUGGGGGAUUUUCCAUGAGAAAAUGUGUGAUUUUCAAGUUAAAUGGGGGGUUUUCGAAAUGCAAAUGCGUGAUUUCUUGUUUAAAUGGGGGGGUUUUCCAGGAGAAAAUGCAUGCUUUUUGGGUGAAUGGGGGAUCUUCUGAAAGAAAAUGCAUAAUUUUCGGGUUAAAUGGGGGAUUUUCGAAGAGAAAAUGCGUGAUGUUCAGUUAAAUGCGGCAUUUUCAAAGAAAAAAAUGCAUGAUAUUCGGGUUAAAUGGGGGAUUUCUGUUAAGGAAAUGAGUGAUUUUUGGGUUAAAUGGGCAGUUUUCAAACAGAAAAUGUGAUACGUCUGGGUUAAGUUGCCAAUUUACAAAGAGAAAAUGGAUGAUUUUCAGUUAAAUGGAGGGUUUUUGAAGAGAACAUGUGUGAUUUAAAUGGGGAUUUUCGAUGAGAAAAUGUGUGAUUUUCAGUAUAAGUGGGGGAUUUGUUUUUUAGGAAAAUGCGAGACGUUUGGGUUAAAUGUGGGAUUUUGCAAGAGAAAAUGCGUGCUAUUCUGUUAAAUGGGGCAUUUUUGAAGAGAAAAUGCAUGGUUUUUGCUUUAAUGGGGGAUUUUCAAACAAAAACGUGUGAUUUUUGUAUUUCAUUGGGAAUUAUCUAAGAGAAAAGGAGUGAUUUCCGGGUCAAAUGAGGAGUUUUUGUUAAGAAAAUGUGUGAUUUUUGGUUAAAUGGGGGAUUUUUGAGCAGGAAAUACAUGAUUUUCGAGUUAAAUGUGGGAUAUUUUAAGAGAAAAUAUGUGCUUUUUGGUUAAAAGGCUGAUUUUGGCAAUGAAAAUGCGUGACUUUCAGUAGGCCCCAUUGCCCCCAGUGUGCGUCCCAGCCUGACGGGACGGGGGGUGUCUUUCUAAAACAAAGAUGCCACUCAGCUUCCGAAGGUGACCUCGGAAUUAGUUUUAUUUAGCGAAGGUGCCAGGAGGUUUCACAGGAGUAGUCUGAAUUUAGCGAGAGAAGUGGGAGCGAGGCUGCCAGGGAAGCAGUCAGGCAUGGGAUGGGUGACCUGGUGGGCAACCCAGGAACGGAUCCUCCGAGAUCCUUGGCUGGUGGGAAGAGGGAGCGGGUGUCAUGUGGCCAGGAGGUAGGGAGUGAAAGGGGUUGGAGCUUGGAGAACGUUUGGGAGCUUCCGCAGCAGUUUCUGUCUGUUGGCCGUCCCUCGAGUCGAAAAUGUCGACCUGUUCCAAACCCCUCUAUCACCUCGUUGAACGUCCAGCUCUGGCCAACCGUUUCUGAACACCACGGUGGGGCCGGGCGUCCCUUCCCCCCAACCGUGCUGAGAUUCUGUGUUUUGAUGAAGAAAAGCUUGUGUGCGUCAAAGGGAGACCUGAGGCUGAAACGGGGCCGAC